AGCUUGCUGGGGGAUUAGUGGCGAACGGGUGAGUAACACGUGAGUAACCUGCCCUUAACUCUGGGAUAAGCCUGGGAAACUGGGUCUAAUACCGGAUAUGACUCCUCAUCGCAUGGUGGGGGGUGGAAAGCUUUAUUGUGGUUUUGGAUGGACUCGCGGCCUAUCAGCUUGUUGGUGAGGUAAUGGCUCACCAAGGCGACGACGGGUAGCCGGCCUGAGAGGGUGACCGGCCACACUGGGACUGAGACACGGCCCAGACUCCUACGGGAGGCAGCAGUGGGGAAUAUUGCACAAUGGGCGAAAGCCUGAUGCAGCGACGCCGCGUGAGGGAUGACGGCCUUCGGGUUGUAAACCUCUUUCAGUAGGGAAGAAGCGAAAGUGACGGUACCUGCAGAAGAAGCGCCGGCUAACUACGUGCCAGCAGCCGCGGUAAUACGUAGGGCGCAAGCGUUAUCCGGAAUUAUUGGGCGUAAAGAGCUCGUAGGCGGUUUGUCGCGUCUGCCGUGAAAGUCCGGGGCUCAACUCCGGAUCUGCGGUGGGUACGGGCAGACUAGAGUGAUGUAGGGGAGACUGGAAUUCCUGGUGUAGCGGUGAAAUGCGCAGAUAUCAGGAGGAACACCGAUGGCGAAGGCAGGUCUCUGGGCAUUAACUGACGCUGAGGAGCG
This 665-nucleotide ribosomal RNA is filed under the name Arthrobacter sp. B435_1. RNAcentral describes it as "bacterial SSU rRNA". It matches the Rfam family "Bacterial small subunit ribosomal RNA", at positions 77 to 755 of the family's 1533-position model. The record is from RNAcentral. Lineage: Bacteria; Bacillati; Actinomycetota; Actinomycetes; Micrococcales; Micrococcaceae.